RNAcentral lists this small nucleolar RNA (127 nucleotides) under Mus spicilegus (steppe mouse). RNAcentral describes it as "Small nucleolar RNA SNORA17 (ENSMSIG00000016485.1)". It matches the Rfam family "Small nucleolar RNA SNORA17". From Rfam's summary of the family: snoRNA ACA 17 belongs to the H/ACA family of snoRNAs and is predicted to guide pseudouridylation of the 28S rRNA at positions U4659 and U4598. It shares the same host gene together with ACA43. The record is from RNAcentral. Lineage: Eukaryota; Metazoa; Chordata; Mammalia; Rodentia; Muridae.
ACUGAUAGAAUUGCCUUGCAGAUGUGGUUGCCAUUUGUGUCAAUAGGUUGCAGAGAGGAGAGAAGCUACAUCUAUGGUCAAUGUUCUGACCUAUUUAUUACAUCUGAUUGAUUAGUAGCCUAACAUU